Molecule: non-coding RNA, 82 nt
Organism: Elaeophora elaphi
Lineage: Eukaryota; Metazoa; Nematoda; Chromadorea; Rhabditida; Onchocercidae
Source: Rfam
GGAGGGAUGCCCGAGUGGUUAAAGGGGACGGACUGUAAAUCCGUUGGCUAUGCCUACGUUGGUUCAAAUCCAACUCCCUCCA